GACGAACGCUGGCGGCGUGCUUAACACAUGCAAGUCGAACGGAAAGGCCCUGCUUUUGUGGGGUGCUCGAGUGGCGACAGGGUGAGUAACACGUGAGUAACCUGCCCUUGACUUUGGGAUAACUUCAGGAAACUGGGGCUAAUACCGGAUAGGAGCUCCUGCUGCAUGGUGGGGGUUGGAAAGUUUCGGCGGUUGGGGAUGGACUCGCGGCUUAUCAGCUUGUUGGUGGGGUAGUGGCUUACCAAGGCUUUGACGGGUAGCCGGCCUGAGAGGGUGACCGGCCACAUUGGGACUGAGAUACGGCCCAGACUCCUACGGGAGGCAGAAGUGGGGAAUAUUGCACAAUGGGCGGAAGCCUGAUGCAGCAACGCCGCGUGCGGGAUGACGGCCUUCGGGUUGUAAACCGCUUUCGCCUGUGACGAAGCGUGAGUGACGGUAAUGGGUAAAGAAGCACCGGCUAACUACGUG
Molecule: ribosomal RNA, 468 nt
Filed under: uncultured bacterium
Lineage: Bacteria
Description: partial 16S ribosomal RNA
Rfam family: Bacterial small subunit ribosomal RNA
Source: RNAcentral